UACGAGGGGGGCAAGCGUUGUUCGGAAUUAUUGGGCGUAAAGGGCGCGUAGGCGGCGCCGCAAGUCACUUGUGAAAACUCUGGGCUCAACUCAGAGCCUGCAAGGGAGACUGCGGUGCUGGAGUAUGGGAGAGGUGCGUGGAAUUCCCGGUGUAGCGGUGAAAUGCGUAGAUAUCGGGAGGAACAGCUGUGGCGAAGGCGGCGAACUGGACCAUAACUGACGCUGAGGCGCGAAAGCGAGGGGAGCAAACAGG
RNAcentral lists this ribosomal RNA (253 nucleotides) under uncultured bacterium. Its description in RNAcentral is "partial 16S ribosomal RNA". It matches the Rfam family "Bacterial small subunit ribosomal RNA", at positions 524 to 776 of the family's 1533-position model. The record is from RNAcentral.